This is a non-coding RNA of Castor canadensis (American beaver), 73 nucleotides long. NCBI's taxonomy places the organism in Eukaryota, Metazoa, Chordata, Mammalia, Rodentia, Castoridae. The record is from the annotation of a RefSeq genome assembly.
GGUGAAGUGGCUCAAGUGGUAGAGCACCUGCCUAGCAAGCAGGAGGUUCUGAGUUCGAACCCCAGUACCGCCA